CUGAGCAGCACCCUUACGAAAGUUAAAUUUGAAAUCUUUAUUUUAGAUGUUACUACAGUAAAAAUGUUGUGCAGGGAAAAACAAAGUUUCAAAUCAGUCUCUGAUCUGGGAGCUUGUGAAAAUAACAGUGGGAGGUGAUAGAGGAAGCAGCAGCAGAAGAGAAAUGGUGAAGAGAGUGGAAACGUGGAAAGUAUGAGCAAGAUGGGCAGAGAAAUGACCAUCAGAACAGAUUCCUGCUGGGUCAGUCCUUCCUGAAAACCACUCGAUGGUGAACAAAGAAGCCUCGGGCAGAUGUGCAGAAGAACAUGUGAAGGGUGAGCAAUGCCCCACCAGAGAAGACAGAAGAAAUUCCAUCUCCUGCUGCUUCCUCCCCCGCUUCCUGAGCCCCCUCCUGCCCCUGUAACAACCACCACUUUUCCUACCUUCUUUCAUAAAGCAGCAAAUUGCCCCUGUGGGCCUAGACAUUAUGUUUGGGGAAAACUGAAUUAACACCAAGAAGCUCUCCAAGAUAUCUGUGAAUAAAUGAUAAAUACAACUCGAA
Long non-coding RNA from Erinaceus europaeus (western European hedgehog), 541 nucleotides. RefSeq lists it as uncharacterized. The record is from RefSeq and is a predicted model, not a curated record. The transcript is spliced from 2 exons. NCBI's taxonomy places the organism in Eukaryota, Metazoa, Chordata, Mammalia, Eulipotyphla, Erinaceidae.